GUUGGCACGCAGAGGACGAAGCCUGGUAUUGCUGGGAUAGACACUCUGCGAGUGCUCACUGUUGAAGCACACGAUGGCCGACGGGACACAGAAGGCUGCCAGCUCAGGAGAGCCAGGGUGAGAGCAAAGGAUCCCUGCAUGCAGCCCCCCACUGCAGGGCAGAGGGGUGUUGGGGGUCUGCCAGCAGUGGAGAGGGGAGUUGGGGGCACACAAGGGCUCCCCAUCUGCUGCGGGCAGGACUUGGCCAGGGGAGCCACAGUUGGGCUUUGGCUGCCUGCUGGCACCGCUGGGCCUGCUGUGCCCCAUCCCUGCAAGUUGCUCACUGCUGUUACUCUCUCCAGCAUGUGUGUUCUGUGGCCGGGUGGACGUGGACCUCGGCAUCACUGGGAACAAAUACGUGAUGAAGGGGAUCUAUUUCCAUACUUUUUGUGUGAAGUCCAAUGUGGGAGGAAAACGAUGCCUAUGCAUCUCUGGGAGGAAGACAUAGGUGCUGUGAUGCCAACGAAUGCCGUUACCCACAGGGCCGGGAACAGGCAGAGGAAGUGGGGCCCUGGCAGCUGCUCCUCUGCAGCUCCUGUGCUGCACGAGGAACACACCGCCGCUGCUCCAACGUGAGUCAGGGCACAACGAGCUGGGAGUGCGACAGCUGUGCUGGAGAGGGCACCGGUAAGAGGCAAACAGCCGCGUGCUGCUGGGCUGGGGACAGGAGAGGCAUUGCUCAAGUCUCUUUGGCCCAGGAUGGAUGGGAGCCUGUCCCAUCUCGGGGCUGGAGUUUCACCCCUCUCAGCUCUUUGCUUCUCCUUUCAGGCCCCAGCACCAACUAGGAUCUUGCCAGCCAUAGCACCACCAGCCGGCAGGAACUGGGGCCAUUCUGAGGCUCCAUAGCACUGGAGAGAAGCAGGUCCAGCUUCUACUCUGUACCACCGAGUAGUUCCCGUGUUCCUGAGAACAGCAUCCUCUCCAGACAGCGCAGGGAGGACAGAAGGAGAAUAUACCCACAUGUCAUAUCCCGGAUGGUCUAGUGCUUUGGAUCCUGCGCUCUCACUGCUGGGACCAGGGUUUGAUUCUGGAACCAUCCUCUGCAAUAUAGUUUUCUUCUGAGAGCUGAUAUUUGAGAUGUUGUUAUUCCAUGGAACUGGACUUUUUAAUGAUCCAUAUGAAUCACAUAUGGAUGUGAUACCACAUCAUAUGUUAUAUGUGGAAUAUUGACAGCAACAUUACAAAACCGUGACACUGCGUUUACAGUGGGAUGAGAAUAUUGAUGCCGUAGGAGCAGCCGUGUACAAGCUCCCCUUCCUAUCCAAUGUCAUCUGAAUCCAUCCCAAUAAAACUUAAUUCCUUCAUGCCA
RNAcentral lists this long non-coding RNA (1348 nucleotides) under Coturnix japonica (Japanese quail). RNAcentral describes it as "lncRNA (ENSCJPG00005000969.1)". The record is from RNAcentral. Lineage: Eukaryota; Metazoa; Chordata; Aves; Galliformes; Phasianidae.